GUUUGGGAAUCCUGAAUGUUUUACUUUUGGCUGAACUCAUCGCCCUCAGCAUACACACUCAUCACAUGACAGCAGAUUUUUCUGACAUCAGCAACAUUCUGACCGAGCAGAACAGCAGCAGCAAGUUUCCCUCCAUGAACGCUAACUUCACUGAAACGGCUCCACGAGCUGAAGACACUUUAAGGGAAAUUGUGUCCUACAGAACGAACAAACAUCAGUUGUUCCUGUUCAUCCAGGGGCUGCAGAAGAAGAGAAGAGCAGAUCCACUAGUGAUGGAUGAUUAGGAUCUGUGUUCACUGUGAUAUUAUUCACCAAGAAUAAUGUAGCUUACGGUGUUACAUAAAACCCUAAAGAUAAAAUGUUCACUUCCAACUGUUGUGACCUGCAUUUAAUAACACAACAAUUUUACCGGUUGUACUCUGUGUUUUUCUUUCUUGUUAAAAUUCUGACGUGAUAAACAAACGUUAGAGGAUAGUUUUGUG
Molecule: long non-coding RNA, 482 nt
Organism: Xiphophorus couchianus (Monterrey platyfish)
Lineage: Eukaryota; Metazoa; Chordata; Actinopteri; Cyprinodontiformes; Poeciliidae
Exons: 3
Source: RefSeq, a predicted model, not a curated record